This 318-nucleotide unclassified non-coding RNA is filed under the name [Auxarthron] kuehnii. RNAcentral's name for it is "Auxarthron kuehnii sequence contains ITS1". The stretch from base 1 to 105 matches the Rfam family "5.8S ribosomal RNA", at positions 50 to 154 of the family's 154-position model. The record is from RNAcentral. Lineage: Eukaryota; Fungi; Ascomycota; Eurotiomycetes; Onygenales; Malbrancheaceae.
GAAAUGCGAUAAGUAAUGUGAAUUGCAGAAUUCCGUGAAUCAUCGAAUCUUUGAACGCACAUUGCGCCCCUCGGUAUUCCGGGGGGCAUGCCUGUCCGAGCGUCAUUGCAACCUUCAAGCGCGGCUUGUGUGUUGGGCUUCGUCCCCCGUGGACGGGCCUUAAAGGCAGUGGCGGCGCCCGAAUCUGGUGCCCGAGCGCAUGGGAAUUUCACUUUCCGCUCAAUGUGGCCCGGCGGACGCUGGUCUUCUUAACCAAAGGAUCUUGCAUCCUUUUCACCGGUUGACCUCGGAUCAGGUAGGGAUACCCGCUGAACUUAA